CGAAUUCACGAAGCAAGACCCGCCGCCUUCAGGCGGCGGGCUCUUGCCCCAGCCCAAGCAGCGCGAAAACGCUGCCAAAUGUGGCAGCGCUUUCGCGCUGCUGAAGACAGCGGCAGCGAUGCCGCUGCUGUUGCAACGGCAUCGCAUGCCGCUGCUGAACCUGCGGCAGGUGCCGCUGGUUGUAGCGGCGUCUGCCGCCCGACCCCUAUGCCGCCCCUCUGCCGGUCGGCGCCGGCGGUUGCAGCCCAACCUUUUUUUUUUUUUUGAAAUCUGAUUUCACAAACU
RNAcentral lists this long non-coding RNA (285 nucleotides) under Olea europaea subsp. europaea. The record is from RNAcentral. Lineage: Eukaryota; Viridiplantae; Streptophyta; Magnoliopsida; Lamiales; Oleaceae.